RNAcentral lists this long non-coding RNA (277 nucleotides) under Lathyrus oleraceus (garden pea). RNAcentral describes it as "Pisum sativum (pea) long non-coding RNA (PSAT_LNC001997)". The record is from RNAcentral. Lineage: Eukaryota; Viridiplantae; Streptophyta; Magnoliopsida; Fabales; Fabaceae.
AACUCCUUAGCUACCUAGUGUGAAGGUAGGCUUUUUGAGAUUAACCUAUUGAUUAACUUAACUCGGAAAGCAAGAGUCUUCACCACGCUUUUAUUAUUUCCAAAGGAAAAGGGAAAAAGUACAAAGAAAACAAAAAGAAGUUUUAAAACAAAAAAGAAAUAAGGGUCUGGGGAUUGAUUAUGCAAAGGGAAGGUAUUAGCACCCUAAACAACUAUAGCAACUAUAGGAACCUCUUUGGAAAUUUGUACAUUUUAGUUUUAAGAUGGUGUUGUUUGCA